ACGUAGGGGCGAGCGUUGUCCGGAAUUACUGGGCGUAAAGGGCACGUAGGCGGCUGUGUAAGUCAGUAGUGGAAGUCCAGCUUUUAAGGUUGGAAGUGCUAUUGAAACUGUGCAGCUUGAGUGCAGGAGAGGUUAUCGGAAUUCCCGGUGUAGCGGUGAAAUGCGUAGAGAUCGGGAGGAACACCAGUGGCGAAGGCGGGUAACUGGACUGCAACUGACGCUGAGGCGCGAAAGUGUGGGGAGCAAACAGGAUUAGAUACCCCCGUAGUCCCUGA
This 275-nucleotide ribosomal RNA is filed under the name uncultured prokaryote. Its description in RNAcentral is "partial 16S ribosomal RNA". It matches the Rfam family "Bacterial small subunit ribosomal RNA", at positions 525 to 800 of the family's 1533-position model. The record is from RNAcentral.